Molecule: ribosomal RNA, 253 nt
Filed under: uncultured bacterium
Lineage: Bacteria
Description: partial 16S ribosomal RNA
Rfam family: Bacterial small subunit ribosomal RNA
Source: RNAcentral
UACGAAGGGUGCAAGCGUUACUCGGAAUUACUGGGCGUAAAGCGUGCGCAGGCGGUUCGUUGUGUCUGCUGUGAAAUCCCCGGGCUCAACCUGGGAAUGGCAGUGGAAACUGGCGAGCUUGAGUGUGGCAGAGGGGGGUGGAAUUCCGCGUGUAGCAGUGAAAUGCGUAGAGAUGCGGAGGAACACCGAUGGCGAAGGCAACCCCCUGGGCUGACACUGACGCUCAGGCACGAAAGCGUGGGGAGCAAACAGG